UCGCGCUCUCUGUUGUUUUGUUGUGAUACUGGUUUAAUAGAAACUGUUAUAAAUAUUGUUUCUAUAAUAGAAAAAUACAGUGUUUGAGUCAGGCCAGUAACGUAAAUGCCUGUAAUAUUCUCAUCCUCACAGUCGUGACAGAUUUAAAGCAAGCAGGAAUAUCUGGAGGAGUAUCUGCUGUGAAGAUGGUGUUUGUUAAAGAGAGUGAGGAGAACACGAGUGAACCAAAACUCUGGAGAAUAAAACACGAGGAACCAGAAACCUGGAGAAUAAAACACGAGGAACCAGAACCCUGGGAAAUAAAACAGGAGGAACAAGGAGAGUUGAUUGAAGAUAAUGAGGAGAAAGAAGAAUCAAGUGAAGUUGAGGAGAAAAAUCAUGUCAAAACUGGAGAAAAACC
Long non-coding RNA from Sinocyclocheilus rhinocerous, 400 nucleotides. RefSeq lists it as uncharacterized. The transcript is spliced from 2 exons. The record is from RefSeq and is a predicted model, not a curated record. Lineage: Eukaryota; Metazoa; Chordata; Actinopteri; Cypriniformes; Cyprinidae.